Rhinolophus ferrumequinum (greater horseshoe bat) is the source of this 84-nucleotide microRNA precursor. Lineage: Eukaryota; Metazoa; Chordata; Mammalia; Chiroptera; Rhinolophidae. The record is from Ensembl.
UUGGUACUUGGAGAGUGGUUAUCCCUGUCCUGUUCGUUUUACUCAUGUCGAAUCGUACAGGGUCAUCCACUUUUUCAGUAUCAA